Monodelphis domestica (gray short-tailed opossum) is the source of this 2940-nucleotide long non-coding RNA. RefSeq lists it as uncharacterized. The record is from RefSeq and is a predicted model, not a curated record. Lineage: Eukaryota; Metazoa; Chordata; Mammalia; Didelphimorphia; Didelphidae.
CGUAAACCUCCAGCCCUGUAGCAGGAGGCAUCCACAGGGGAGCCUCCAGCCCCCUAGCACAGGAUAGCACAUGCAAUAUAUCAACCGUCUCAAGAAACAGAAACUUUGACUUUGAAAGCAAAGCCCCCAUGGACUGACCAUCCCCCUAUUUCCUGCUUUUCUAUCCCUGAGUGUGGGGAAACCCUACAAACAUGCAGGUGGGGAAAUGGAAACAAGCAGCCAUCCAAUUUUUGAGAAUGUUCUUGCCAGGUGAGAAAAAUGCUCUUGGAGAACAUAUAAGGAAUGGAGAAACCCAGGGGAUGGCAUCUGGAAAAUAAGCACCUUUGUAGGCCAAAAAGGCAGAAGUCUGAGCGAGGAAUGCAGGCUCUCUGUGUAUGGAGCUAAGGAACAUGAUUUUUGCCUGAGGCCACCUCUCGAAUCUCUGCAGCUUCUACUAUUUACUGCUCUUCUUUGUGCUAUCUCCACGCAGGUGCCCAAGGUCUACACUAUUCAGCCUGCUGGGGUUUCAAGUCUAGCUGCUCUCAAGGUAGACUAUAUCAGUGGGUGGUAAGGAGAGGAAGAGUCCUGAGUCUACAGGGUCGCCAUGUUUACUCAGAAGUCAGAUGACAGCUUUCUGAAGAGAUUAGUCAAGCAAAGAGAGAAGGAUAAGGAAUCUAUAUAUAUAGAAGAGCUGACUUAUCAUUGAACCAAUUUGAUCCAGUAACAUCUAUUAAGCAACUAAAAUACCCAUUGCUCAGAGUUUCUGUGAUGUUCAGAGAGGACUAGCACCUCUGGUGUAGAGUUUGCUGAACCUUUGGUGUCUACCUUUCACUCAACUCUCACCUGUAUCUCUAAGAAGCUAUAGUAUGCACAGGGACCACAUCCUGAUAAACCAUCUCAACAGAUUGGCUAAACCAGGAUGAGGAUAACCAACAAGGUUCAGAUCUGUUGAUGUCUACCUCAAGCCUGUGAAGACUUCCUUUGGCAGAAUGGAUGGAUGAGAACAAUUUGUUCCAAUAGCCAUGAAAGCAGCUGAAGCAGAACUUGUGAAGAUGCCAAGGACUUGCAUGUCCAAGCCAUCCCCAGUCAUCCUGAUUUUUGACUUGACAUUGUACUUAAAUGACUCUGGAACAGAGAGUGAGACUGCUGCUGACUUUGUGCCACUCUGCUUGACUUAAAUUCAAUUCACACACAAGUCAAGGCAUCAUCCCAUGACGCCAUCGUUUCUCUUCAAAAAUGAAGGACAAGUAAUAAUCACUUACCCAAAGCCCAAUGAUAGAAGUUAGAGAUAUGAAGACAAAAUAUACCCAUUCUGUCCCAGAAGGACUGCCUUUUCAUUUUUUUAAAGAAUGCAUGUGUGGGGGAGUGGAGUAGGGAGGACAGAUACCUUAUAUGUCAAGUAAGUAAAUAUAAAGUUAAUAAAGGGAGCACAUUCUCAACUUAUCCACAAGAAAUAAUAGAGGAAGUGCCAGUUGAAUAAAGAGAGAGACAGAGACAAACAGACAGAAAGAUAAGAAAGGAGUCCAAUCUAGGCCUGAUGAAUAGCUUAUACAAAUGAAAAAAAGUGGAAGAUUCAAGUCCAGGAGCAAUUAGUUGUCCAAUUUGGUUAGAACAUGCAGAGAAAUAUGGCAAUGAAGAGCAAUUGAACCCUUGUACUACUAGCCUGACUUUUCAAAUUCUUUUUUUUUUCCUUUUUACUGAGCUUUUCACAGACCCCAUUUGGAGUCGCUGGAAAUAGAAGGAGCAUCAAUUCUUGAGUCUGAUACCUCUUAGGAAAGGGAGGUUCCUUAACAAAGCUCCAUGUCAUUUUUUCUCCCCAGCCCUGAUGCUUCCAGAAAGAGCCCUUCUAUCUCUCUGCCCGGGAACACCAUAUACAAUGCACCACAUUAGCUCUACAUGGACUUGACUAUGUCUCUCAUGAUUUAACAAUGAAUCCACUUGAACAGGGAUGAUUAGAAUAGUGUGGCAGAAUCUCCCUUCAAAUUGCUAUACCAGUGACUAAUAGCUAGGAAAUUCGUGUCUCAAAUAAAUAAUUGGCCUUCAGCCACGUCCCUCAGCUGGAUAGACAUGUCAAUGCGAUCCUUCAGAGCCUCAGAAGCCUCAAUGAGCAUCAUUGCUAGAUCAUAAUUGAUCAUAUUAUAUUUAUAUCUGUUGAAGGAUGUAAUUUACUGUUAAACUACAGAAGCCCAGCCCAGCAGAGCACCCCAGAAAGGACUCCUUCCAUGGAAGAAGAAGCUUGAGCUAUAUUAUACACAGGCUAUGGUUUUUAAAAUAUUAAUAAUAUUGUAAACUAAAGGUUUACUUUAUGUGCCAUAAAUCUGGCUGUCUCUUCUUUCUCUAUGCCCCAUAAAUAUACUUCUCAUCAACUUUUAAUUAUACUGUUUGCAUUAUUCUGUCCUGAAGAGGAGCGGGCCCCCUAAAUCACCACCUUCUAAUGUAGACUACAGCAUAAGUUUAGUUAAUUAAACCAUAUAUUUUAUUAGUUCUUGCCCUUCCAUCUUGUAAAACUAUACAUUACUAUGUUGGGGGGGGGGACAGCAUAAAAUAACAUCGUAAGCUCCUUUUUAUUUUUAUUCUUUUUAUUACUCUGGAUUUUAAGAUGACACUGGAAAGAGUCUAAUAGGAUUCCUGAUAUCAAGUACUGCUGCCUUGUGGUUUGCUGGUGAACUUCUUUCCAGGAAAAAUAGUAGAGAAUGUUAGAGGAAAAGCAAAAAUGUAGUGUGAACAAUGUGAACCCAAGGGUAGCUUAGUGGCUCAGUGGAGAGAGAACCAAGCUAGGAGACAGGAGGUAAUGGGUUCAAAUCUGAUUUCAGACACUUCCUAGCUGUGUGAUUCUGGGCAAGUCACUUGCUCUUGUUGCCUAACCUGUACAUUCUUCUGCCUUAGAAUCAAUAAUUAGUAUUGAUUUUAAGACAGAAGGUGAGGGAGAAAGAAGGAAAGAGAAAGAAAGGAAGAAAGGAA